This 467-nucleotide ribosomal RNA is filed under the name uncultured bacterium. RNAcentral's name for it is "partial 16S ribosomal RNA". It matches the Rfam family "Bacterial small subunit ribosomal RNA", at positions 28 to 507 of the family's 1533-position model. The record is from RNAcentral.
GACGAACGCUGGCGGCGUGCUUAACACAUGCCAGUCGAACGGAAAGGCCCUGCUUUUGUGGGGUGCUCGAGUGGCGAACGGGUGAGUAACACGUGAGUAACCUGCCCUUGACUUUGGGAUAACUUCAGGAAACUGGGGCUAAUACCGGAUAGGAGCUCCUGCUGCAUGGUGGGGGUUGGAAAGUUUCGGCGGUUGGGGAUGGACUCGCGGCUUAUCAGCUUGUUGGUGGGGUAGUGGCUUACCAAGGCUUUGACGGGUAGCCGGCCUGAGAGGGUGACCGGCCACAUUGGGACUGAGAUACGGCCCAGACUCCUACGGGAGGCAGCAGUGGGGAAUAUUGCACAAUGGGCGGAAGCCUGAUGCAGCAACGCCGCGUGCGGGAUGACGGCCUUGGGUUGUAAACCGCUUUCGCCUGUGACGAAGCGUGAGUGACGGUAAUGGGUAAAGAAGCACCGGCUAACUACGUG